UCCCUCGUGGCGCAAUGGCUAGCGCGUUCGACUGUUAAUCGAGAGGUUGGUGGUUCGACCCCACCCGAGGGAG
Molecule: transfer RNA, 73 nt
Filed under: Pseudogymnoascus destructans 20631-21
Lineage: Eukaryota; Fungi; Ascomycota; Leotiomycetes; Thelebolales; Thelebolaceae
Description: tRNA-Asn (GTT) (tRNA-Asn-GTT-1-1)
Rfam family: tRNA
About the family: Transfer RNA (tRNA) molecules are approximately 80 nucleotides in length. Their secondary structure includes four short double-helical elements and three loops (D, anti-codon, and T loops). Further hydrogen bonds mediate the characteristic L-shaped molecular structure. tRNAs have two regions of fundamental functional importance: the anti-codon, which is responsible for specific mRNA codon recognition, and the 3' end, to which the tRNAs corresponding amino acid is attached (by aminoacyl-tRNA synthetases). tRNAs cope with the degeneracy of the genetic code in two manners: having more than one tRNA (with a specific anti-codon) for a particular amino acid; and 'wobble' base-pairing, i.e. permitting non-standard base-pairing at the 3rd anti-codon position.
Source: RNAcentral